This 326-nucleotide ribosomal RNA is filed under the name uncultured eukaryote. RNAcentral describes it as "partial 18S ribosomal RNA". It matches the Rfam family "Eukaryotic small subunit ribosomal RNA", at positions 1470 to 1796 of the family's 1831-position model. The record is from RNAcentral.
CCCUUAGAUGUUCUGGGCCGCACGCGCGCUACACUGACAAAGCCAACGAGUACCUCCUAGGCUGAAAAGCUCGGGUAAUCUUUUGAAACUUUGUCGUGCUGGGGAUAGUCCUUUGUAAUUUUCGGACUUGAACGAGGAAUUCCUAGUAAGCACGAGUCAUCAGCUCGUGCUGAUUACGUCCCUGCCCUUUGUACACACCGCCCGUCGCUACUACCGAUUGAAUGGCUUAGUGAGCCUUUGGGAUUGGCAGCCAACACCGGCAACGGUAGCUGGCCGCCGAAAACUUAUGCAAACUUGGUCAUUUAGAGGAAGUAAAAGUCGUAACA